Molecule: ribosomal RNA, 371 nt
Filed under: uncultured organism
Description: partial 16S ribosomal RNA
Rfam family: Bacterial small subunit ribosomal RNA
Source: RNAcentral
GUAGGUGGCAAGCGUUGUCCGGAAUUAUUGGGCGUAAAGCGCGCGCAGGCGGUUCUUUAAGUCUGAUGUGAAAGCCCACGGCUCAACCGUGGAGGGUCAUUGGAAACUGGAGAACUUGAGUACAGAAGAGGACAGCGGAAUUCCACGUGUAGCGGUGAAAUGCGUAGAGAUGUGGAGGAACACCAGUGGCGAAGGCGGCUUUCUGGUCUGUAACUGACGCUGAGGCGCGAAAGCGUGGGGGAGCAAACAGGAUUAGAUACCCUGGUAGUCCACGCCGUAAACGAUGAGUGCUAAGUGUUAGGGGGUUUCCGCCCCUUAGUGCUGCAGCUAACGCAUUAAGCACUCCGCCUGGGAGUACGGCCGCAAGGCUG